Coregonus clupeaformis (lake whitefish) is the source of this 315-nucleotide long non-coding RNA. RefSeq lists it as uncharacterized. The transcript has 3 exons. The record is from RefSeq and is a predicted model, not a curated record. Lineage: Eukaryota; Metazoa; Chordata; Actinopteri; Salmoniformes; Salmonidae.
CUGCCUAUGAACGCACACUUUGGAUGCGACACAACUAUGCCGGUUAGCCAAACCUAAAUUACGGUGCACAUCAAUUACGUAUUGCUGUAAUACUGGAGCUUUUUUAUGAAUGGAGUGAAUUACAUUCUUUGAGAAAAAGCGUAUAAUUUGCUCGCUUAAUUAGGCUACUCAGAGAGAACGACGUCAUUGAACAAGCAGUGAUUGCUUAUAAAGGCAGAAAAACGAAAUGAAUGAAUAGAGACAAUUUGCUACAGCAUACCUACGUCUUUUAUUUAAGGACAAUGACCCAACACACCUCCAGGCUGUGUAAGGGCU